UACGGAGGGUGCAAGCGUUAUCCGGAUUUACUGGGUUUAAAGGGUGCGUAGGCGGACAUUUAAGUCAGAGGUGAAAUCUCCGAGCUCAACUCGGAAACUGCCUUUGAUACUAUUUGUCUUGAAUUUCGUUGAGGUUGGCGGAAUAUAUCAUGUAGCGGUGAAAUGCAUAGAUAUGAUAUAGAACACCGAUUGCGAAGGCAGCUAACUAAACGAACAUUGACGCUGAGGCACGAAAGCGUGGGGAGCGAACAGG
RNAcentral lists this unclassified non-coding RNA (253 nucleotides) under uncultured Chitinophagales bacterium. Its description in RNAcentral is "contains 16S-23S intergenic spacer region". It matches the Rfam family "Bacterial small subunit ribosomal RNA", at positions 524 to 776 of the family's 1533-position model. The record is from RNAcentral. Lineage: Bacteria; Pseudomonadati; Bacteroidota; Chitinophagia; Chitinophagales.